AACAUGCUAUCACCCAUGUCGAGACCGAGGGGCAUCUUGUGCAUAAGUAAUUAGUUAACGCCUAGUUAUCUCAGGUCAGAUAUUUCCUUUUCUGAUUGCAAAUCAAUAGAGCGCACUAAACUUGACACAGGCAACAUUUCUCGGAGAUAACAUCAUACUACUAAGUUAAGCAAGAAGCGACAGAUCUCUAGAGCACAUUAAGAUAACUGAACAACAGCCUCUUCAGAAAAUGAAAAUAACUUGCCUAGAUUGACACUAACAAAGAACGGCACACGCGCCUGCAUGCGUGGAGAUAACAACUUCAGUGGGUCGAAAGAAGCAACAAGAGGUAGAUCGACAGAGACAACCCAACACACGCGACAUUUUCACGCGAUAACUCUAACUUAACUAGAUCGACCGGGGCGGCAAGCGGCAGAUGCGCGCGCAUGCAUGCAUGCAUGCUCUGCUCUCCCUUACAGCGCGAAGGCGGCGGCCGCCGCCGCGGCGCCGGCAGUGCGCAGUAUCUGAAAAUACAGCUGCGAAUUCGCCACGAAUGCCGCGCGGGAGAUGAAGAAGCCGGCCGCGCCUGGCGCCUUCAUCGUGGCGCCGGCGGCCACCGCCCCAGCAG
This 607-nucleotide long non-coding RNA is filed under the name Triticum aestivum (bread wheat). RNAcentral describes it as "long non-coding RNA (TAES_LNC022135)". Lineage: Eukaryota; Viridiplantae; Streptophyta; Magnoliopsida; Poales; Poaceae. The record is from RNAcentral.